RNAcentral lists this ribosomal RNA (253 nucleotides) under uncultured bacterium. Its description in RNAcentral is "partial 16S ribosomal RNA". It matches the Rfam family "Bacterial small subunit ribosomal RNA", at positions 524 to 776 of the family's 1533-position model. The record is from RNAcentral.
UACGAAGGGGGCUAGCGUUGUUCGGAGUUACUGGGCGUAAAGGGCGCGUAGGCGGCGCACCAAGUCAGGCGUGAAAGCCCUGGGCUCAACCCGGGAAUUGCGCUUGAGACUGGUGUGCUUGAGUACGGGAGAGGAUAGUGGAAUUCCCAGUGUAGAGGUGAAAUUCGUAGAUAUGGGGAGGAACACCGGUGGCGAAGGCGGCCACCUGGACGGUAACUGACGCUGAGACGCGAAAGCGUGGGGAGCAAACAGG